AGAGUUUGAUCCUGGCUCAGGACGAACGCUGGCGGCAUGCCUCAUACAUGCAAGUCGCACGAGCUUCCGUUGAAUGACGUGCUUGCACUGAUUUCAACAAUGAAGCGAGUGGCGAACUGGUGAGUAACACGUGGGGAAUCUGCCCAGAAGCAGGGGAUAACACUUGGAAACAGGUGCUAAUACCGUAUAACAACAAAAUCCGCAUGGAUUUUGUUUGAAAGGUGGCUUCGGCUAUCACUUCUGGAUGAUCCCGCGGCGUAUUAGUUAGUUGGUGAGGUAAAGGCCCACCAAGACGAUGAUACGUAGCCGACCUGAGAGGGUAAUCGGCCACAUUGGGACUGAGACACGGCCCAAACUCCUACGGGAGGCAGCAGUAGGGAAUCUUCCACAAUGGACGAAAGUCUGAUGGAGCAAUGCCGCGUGAGUGAAGAAGGGUUUCGGCUCGUAAAACUCUGUUGUUAAAGAAGAACACCUUUGAGAGUAACUGUUCAAGGGUUGACGGUAUUUAACCAGAAAGCCACGGCUAACUACGUGCCAGCAGCCGCGGUAAUACGUAGGUGGCAAGCGUUGUCCGGAUUUAUUGGGCGUAAAGCGAGCGCAGGCGGUUUUUUAAGUCUGAUGUGAAAGCCUUCGGCUUAACCGGAGAAGUGCAUCGGAAACUGGGAGACUUGAGUGCAGAAGAGGACAGUGGAACUCCAUGUGUAGCGGUGGAAUGCGUAGAUAUAUGGAAGAACACCAGUGGCGAAGGCGGCUGUCUAGUCUGUAACUGACGCUGAGGCUCGAAAGCAUGGGUAGCGAACAGGAUUAGAUACCCUGGUAGUCCAUGCCGUAAACGAUGAGUGCUAAGUGUUGGAGGGUUUCCGCCCUUCAGUGCUGCAGCU
This 881-nucleotide ribosomal RNA is filed under the name uncultured bacterium. RNAcentral's name for it is "bacterial SSU rRNA". It matches the Rfam family "Bacterial small subunit ribosomal RNA", at positions 8 to 853 of the family's 1533-position model. The record is from RNAcentral.